RNAcentral lists this ribosomal RNA (452 nucleotides) under uncultured soil bacterium. RNAcentral's name for it is "bacterial SSU rRNA". It matches the Rfam family "Bacterial small subunit ribosomal RNA", at positions 26 to 518 of the family's 1533-position model. The record is from RNAcentral.
AGAACGAACGCUGGCGGCAUGCCUAACACAUGCAAGUCGAACGAGACCUUCGGGUCUAGUGGCGCACGGGUGCGUAACGCGUGGGAAUCUGCCCUUGGGUUCGGGAUAACAGUUGGAAACGACUGCUAAUACCGGAUGAUGUCUUCGGACCAAAGAUUUAUCGCCCAGGGAUGAGCCCGCGUAGGAUUAGCUUGUUGGUGAGGUAAGAGCUCACCAAGGCGACGAUCCUUAGCUGGUCUGAGAGGAUGAUCAGCCACACUGGGACUGAGACACGGCCCAGACUCCUACGGGAGGCAGCAGUGGGGAAUAUUGGACAAUGGGCGAAAGCCUGAUCCAGCAAUGCCGCGUGAGUGAUGAAGGCCUUAGGGUUGUAAAGCUUACUUUACCCGGGAUGAAUUAAUGACAGUACCGGAGAAUAAAGCCCGGCUAACUCCGUAGCCAGCCGAGUCCGC